AGAGUGUGAUCCUGGCUCAGGACGAACGCUGGCGGCGUGCCUCAUACAUGCAAGUGGAGCGACGAACCAGGGCUUUGCCCUGGGGCUAAGCCGCGAACGGGUGAGUAACACGUGGGUAACCUGCCCCGAUGACCGGGACAACCCGAGGAAACUCGGGCUAAUACCGGAUGUGCUCGCUGCGCUCAAGCGCGGUGAGUAAAGGAAGCUUCGGCCUCCGCAUUGGGAGGGGCCCGCGGCCCAUUAGCUUGUUGGUGAGGUAACGGCUCACCAAUGCUGCGAUGGGUAGCUGGUCUAAGAGGACGGUCAGCCACACUGGGACUGAGACACGGCCCAGACUCCUACGGGAGGCAGCAGUACGGAAUCUUGCGCAAUGCGCGAAAGCGUGACGCAGCAACGCCGCGUGGGGGAAGAAGGCCUUCAGGUUGUAAACCCCUUUCACGAGGGACUAAGGUGCGGCUGCGAACAGCCGUGCGUACUGACGGUACCUCCAAAAGAAGACCCGGCUAACUACGUGCCAGCAGCCGCGGUAAUACGUAGGGGGCUAGCGGUGUGCGGAAUCAUAGGGCGUAGGCGAGCGUACGUUGCCCGGUAAGUCCGCUGUACAAGUACAUGUCUCAGUCCUGGAACAGCCUGUGGGAUACUGUUCUCGGCUCUAAGUUCGGGGACGAGGUCCAAGUGGGGAAUUCCCCUGGCUGUAGCGUGUGGGAGNUGCCGCANCAUAUCCCCGAGGCACCGGCUAUUACCCAACGGCUUCUCNUUUGUGACGGCUCCUCACCCCUAGGUCCCCAGGCAGUGNGGAUCAACGUGGAUGGG
This 813-nucleotide ribosomal RNA is filed under the name uncultured bacterium. RNAcentral describes it as "bacterial SSU rRNA". It matches the Rfam family "Bacterial small subunit ribosomal RNA", at positions 8 to 700 of the family's 1533-position model. The record is from RNAcentral.